CGUGUCUAUACUGAAGGAUACUUUUUGAACACACAAGACAAAAAUCAGUAAGAACAAUCCUUUCACAGUGAUAGCAAUUCUACCAGACGAAUGAAGGUCAUUGGCUACAACUUCUAUGUGCUGAGAUCCUUUGCAUAUUUUGUAGCAUUUGAAAAAAGUUCUUGCAGAAGAAUAUCCAUAUAUCAUAAACUAUGUUACUAUCAUCCCUAUAUUAGUAAAUGGAAAUUACAGAUGCUCUUAAAAAACCUUUCUAAAACUAAAAACAUAUGUCAAAAAUGCUUUGUAGAACAAAUGGAACUACUGUCAUUGUCAUGGCCAUUGAAUUCUUCCCACUGCACUAAGUAAGCAAAUAUUUUCACUUAACCUAUCUGACUUAAUUUUUUUCAGAAUAAUACAUUGGAUAAAUGUUAGAUAGAAUGACCUACAUUUUAGACAUUAAUUUUAUAGUUGCUUUGCCUUCGUGGAUAUCUAUGCACUACUUCAGAAGACAGAUCCUGAGCCAUAGAUGCUUAUGAACUUCUAUGAUGGUGCUAAGAACGCAAUACAGGCACUCUGAAAUAGCAUCCAGAGCUCUUAACCAGAAAGCCAUCUUUCCAGCCACAAAAUGUUGUUGGGUUUUCUUUGUCUUGUUAUGUAUAAAAUCAUAUACUUUAUAGACCCUGUGACUCUAAAAAAAUCUGUACCAAUCUUUUACAUGGCAAAAUGUUGGAUGUUUACCCUCAUGGCUGGCUGAUUGUAAGCUGUAGACCAAUAACACACUAUUGUAUCAUUUAUUCUUACCCUGAAAAAAAAGAGAAAAAUAAAAUAAAACUUUAAAUUAGAAUUUCUAGUUACUUCACAUAGCUUCUAUACUAUUACAAACUUUAAAAUACAUAUUUAAAUGAAAUCAUUUGAAGCCAAAAGCUGUCUGCAAAUUCAAAGCCACAUAUUUAUCCUGCUUCUUCAGUAAACACACAUGAGGUUUUCUAAUUUUCAUGAAUCAUACAUUAUUAUUUCAAAAAGAACUGCAGCAGGGGACAAAAUAGAGUUUAAUAAUCUACAAUAAUAUUGUGCAGCUGAUUUUUACAUGACUACUUUACCACAUUCCUUUUGCAGAUUUCCUUUUUCCUUCCAUUUUUUUGUGUUGUUCCUUUUACUCUUAAAGUACAUUGUUUUCUUUUUUAAAGGCAGUCUAUAUAGACUUAUUUCAUUUCACAAAGAGUUAGCUUUUGACUCUGAACUUCAUGGAGGUAUUUUUGUUGUCAGUUCCAUAAACUUUAAGCAGUACAUCUGCUUUCAUGCUAUAAAUCCUGAGACUAAAUCACAGUUUUUCUCCCAAGUGGGAUGAAUGGAUUUGAAUUGGACACCAGAAAAGAAGGACUGCUGUGCUAUUUGUUACAGCCUGCCAACUUCGUUCAAUUGAAGCAACAGGGAUGUGUUGAAAACCAGGCUGUUUCCAUAAGGUCAUUAUAAAGCCUGCUCUUGGAAUUACCAGUGGAAAAUUUCAAAGAAUCUUCCCACAGAGCAUCGAUGUGUCUGUAUAGCCAAAGAAGCAAUCUUCUAUGUGUUCACAACUAAGCAUAGCAAGACUGGUAUCCAAAGGGAGCUUUGGAAUCUCUGCCCUUAGUGUGCUGGUUAUAAAGUUUGGCAGAGUUGUUUACUCUAUUACUUACUGGAAAAGGUCCAAAAGGAAUGUUUUGUUUGUUGUUUUAUGAUAAUUCAUAUUUGUCCAUUGAAAUCAGCCAAUUUUCAUUUAAAAAUGUGUAGUCACAGAGCAGCCAUGAGAGCAGCCUUGAGUUCCUUCUUAAAAAUUGAUUUAGGUGGUUGUUUAAAAUCAUGUAUGGAAGUUUUACUCAGUGUGGUACCAAUACAAUAAACACUGUCUCCUCCAUACUUCCUCCAUACUUAUUGACACUGCUUUGUCCCAAAAACUAAAACAAUCACAACAUAAAUUCAUAAUAUAAGCCAAGAGUUUAAUAAUCUACAAUAAACCAAAAGGCUACUGAGUGAGUGUGCUCUCGUGAGUGUGCAUUCUGUUUCAUCCAAGGACUUCAAGUUCUCUAACUCACUGAAACGGCAUUACUUCUUAUUUUAGAUAUGUACUAGAUACAAGGAGAACCUAAUCCAUAAUCACAGGUCACAUCGUUGAGAAAUUAACUCAGGUCACUGUUCUUUGUAACUAAGCAAGCAGGGGAAAAAUGGCUAGUAGUGCAGUGAGCAGAUGGCUAACGUGGUCCCCUCCAUGUGACUCCAAACACAGAAGUCUGCUCAAGACUACAUGGUAAACAGUGUUUAUCAUAGUGAAAAUUCAAUAGAGAAAAAAAUUAUAUAUAUACAAGCAACCUAAUGACUUGUAAGUGGAGUGUCUUUAUUUGAAGUCUUCACUGUGCAGUUGUUGAAGUAUGAAGAGAGAAAGGGAAACAUCUAUAGACUCAGUGUAGAUGUCGUCAGUCCAUGCAACAGCAAAGAUACUGCUAAAGAAAGGUGGAGGUAACUUUUAAAUGUUUCAGAAAUGACAGCAACAAGAAAACCUCAUUCAAAAACAAAGUUCUAUUUUAAAAUGUGUUAUCUUCUUGCCAAGAUGAAUAUAAAAUCUACACUUUUAACAUUUUUUACAACUUCACAUUUUGUACCUCAGAUCUCAAGAGCUUACUUUAUCCCUCCUGACUCUAACUCCCUACCCAUUAAUUAACAAGUUUGGUUCCCUGAAUUCCAUUCUACUGUUUCAUUGUAUGAAUUUGAAUUUUAAAAUAUUUGACAUAAGCAGUGUUCUGUCUUUCUGUAAUUCCCUUAUUUUAGCCUCAUGUGAUAAAUGAACAUUGUUAUGUAUUUCAUUGUUUCCAUUCUUAGUUUUUGUACGUAUGUCUCAAUGCUUCUAUCUCAAAUUAUGAAAAAUUUCAAGAGUUCAGAAGAGUUGGGGGAAGAGAUACUGUGGUUGGGAUGUAUUGUGUGGAAAAAGAAAACAUUUUACUUAAAAAGUAAAAUAAAAUAACUGGAUUCCUUGAGUGUGGUGUCUGAACAUGGGUGCCAGUUGGGAGGCCUGGGCAGUUUAUAAAGCUGCUAGCAGUAGAACCAGUAUUUGUCCCUAGUGUAUGAACUGGUAUUUUGGGGCCCAUUAUCUAUGAAGGGAUACUCUCUUUGCCCAGAUACAGGGUGAAGGGUCUUGUUCCUGCCCCAAAGUGACACUUUGAUGAUCUCUCCAUGAGAGGCCUCACCCCCACUAAGGAGCAGAUGGGGGUGGGAUGGAGAGAUGGUGGGGCAAUUGGAUAACAGC
Long non-coding RNA from Mesocricetus auratus (golden hamster), 3253 nucleotides. RefSeq lists it as uncharacterized. The record is from RefSeq and is a predicted model, not a curated record. The transcript is spliced from 5 exons. NCBI's taxonomy places the organism in Eukaryota, Metazoa, Chordata, Mammalia, Rodentia, Cricetidae.